GGCGAACGGGUGAGUAAUGUAUCGGAACGUACCUUUCAGUGGGGGAUAACGUAGCGAAAGUUACGCUAAUACCGCAUAUUCUGUGAGCAGGAAAGCAGGGGAUCGCAAGACCUUGCGCUGAUUGAGCGGCCGAUAUCAGAUUAGCUAGUUGGUGAGGUAAAGGCUCACCAAGGCGACGAUCUGUAGCGGGUCUGAGAGGAUGAUCCGCCACACUGGAACUGAGACACGGUCCAGACUCCUACGGGAGGCAGCAGUGGGGAAUUUUGGACAAUGGGGGCAACCCUGAUCCAGCCAUGCCGCGUGAGUGAAGAAGGCCUUCGGGUUGUAAAGCUCUUUCAGCCGGGAAGAAAACGCAUGGGUUAAUACCCUGUGUGGAUGACGGUACCGGAAUAAGAAGCACCGGCUAACUACGUGCCAGCAGCCGCGGUAAUACGUAGGGUGCGAGCGUUAAUCGGAAUUACUGGGCGUAAAGCGUGCGCAGGCGGUUUGUUAAGAUAGGCGUGAAAUCCCCGGGCUCAACCUGGGAACUGCGUUUAUGACUGGCAGGCUAGAGUAUGGCAGAGGGGGGUGGAAUUCCACGUGUAGCAGUGAAAUGCGUAGAGAUGUGGAGGAACACCGAUGGCGAAGGCAGCCCCCUGGGCCAAUACUGACGCUCAUGCACGAAAGCGUGGGUAGCAAACAGGAUUAGAUACCCUGGUAGUCCACGCCCUAAACGAUGUCAACUAGGUGUUGGGUGGGUAAAACCAUUUAGUACCGGAGCUAACGCGUGAAGUUGACCGCCUGGGGAGUACGGCCGCAAGGUUAAAACUCAAAGGAAUUGACGGGGACCCGCACAAGCGGUGGAUGAUGUGGAUUAAUUCGAUGCAACGCGAAAAACCUUACCUACCCUUGACAUGUCCAGGAGCUCUUAGAGAUUUGAGUGUGCCCGAAAGGGAACUGGAACACAGGUGCUGCAUGGCUGUCGUCAGCUCGUGUCGUGAGAUGUUGGGUUAAGUCCCGCAACGAGCGCAACCCUUGUCGUUAAUUGCCAUCAUUUAGUUGGGCACUUUAACGAGACUGCCGGUGACAAACCGGAGGAAGGUGGGGAUGACGUCAAGUCCUCAUGGCCCUUAUGGGUAGGGCUUCACACGUCAUACAAUGGUCGGUACAAAGGGUUGCCAACCCGCGAGGGGGAGCUAAUCCCAGAAAGCCGAUCGUAGUCCGGAUCGUAGGCUGCAACUCGCCUGCGUGAAGUCGGAAUCGCUAGUAAUCGUGGAUCAGCAUGUCACGGUGAAUACGUUCCCGGGUCUUGUACACACCGCCCGUCACACCAUGGGAGCGGGUUCCGCCAGAAGUAGGUAGCCUAACCGCAAGGAGGGCGCUUACCACGGCGGGGUUCGUGACUGAGGUGAAGUCGAAACAAGGUA
Molecule: ribosomal RNA, 1406 nt
Filed under: metagenome
Description: bacterial SSU rRNA
Rfam family: Bacterial small subunit ribosomal RNA
Source: RNAcentral